This 586-nucleotide long non-coding RNA is filed under the name Homo sapiens (human). The record is from RNAcentral. Lineage: Eukaryota; Metazoa; Chordata; Mammalia; Primates; Hominidae.
GGGCUUCCUCUGGGCCUCUUUCUUACUUUGCCAUCCACACUGCUCCUGGCUAACCCCAGCAAUAACCAACAAAUGGUAGGAAGCCCCACCUAUUGCUUUUUCUCAAUUAUGACUGCAUAGUUUGUGGAAACAAAGAUCUUGAGGAAGAUGAGGGAAGCCCUCCCCUCUUCAUAGUCCCCAUCUCUUCUCCUUUGUACCUGUCAACACCAGAGUUCAGUGUUUAAACAGACAGAAUAUAAAGUAUUGAGUAGGUGGUUCAUAUGCCGAAUCCACUUGGUAGGAAGAAACCACCAGCUUUAUAGUGUGCCUGAUAGAUUUUAAACAUUCCUGGGCACCCACUCAAGAGUGUUCUUUUUAUCACCUUCUGGAAAUCCCCAAAGUUGCAGGGGCCUCUGGAGUGUCUCUGCUCUAGAGAGAAUUGGUGGGACCCCCCUCAGUGCAGUGGCCCCAACUAGUGGAGGGAGAGAGGACUUAAGUCAGAUGGACUCAACAGAAAUGGGUUUCCAGAAGAAUAAUGAAAAGUUGUGGGUAGGAAAAUGAAUCAUUUGGACUCUUCAAUGAAAUGGAGUGAACCCAGGAGAGCUCA